Molecule: transfer RNA, 65 nt
Filed under: Sphingobium sp. JAI105
Lineage: Bacteria; Pseudomonadati; Pseudomonadota; Alphaproteobacteria; Sphingomonadales; Sphingobiaceae
Description: tRNA-OTHER
Source: RNAcentral
GGCGUAGCGUUGGAAUCAAAUUGCCAAGGUUGGGGUCGAGGGUUCGAAUCCCUUCGCCCGCUCCA